UACGGAGGGUGCAAGCGUUAUCCGGAUUUACUGGGCGUAAAGGGCGCGUAGGCGGCCACGACAAGUCACUUGUGAAAUCUCCGGGCUUAACUCGGAACGGUCAAGUGAUACUGUCGGGCUAGAGUACAGAAGGGGCAACUGGAAUUCUCGGUGUAGCGGUGAAAUGCGUAGAUAUCGAGAGGAACACCUGCGGCGAAGGCGGGUUGCUGGGCUGAUACUGACGCUGAGGAGCGAAAGCGUGGGGAGCGAACAGG
This 254-nucleotide ribosomal RNA is filed under the name uncultured bacterium. RNAcentral describes it as "partial 16S ribosomal RNA". It matches the Rfam family "Bacterial small subunit ribosomal RNA", at positions 524 to 776 of the family's 1533-position model. The record is from RNAcentral.